This 253-nucleotide ribosomal RNA is filed under the name uncultured bacterium. RNAcentral describes it as "partial 16S ribosomal RNA". It matches the Rfam family "Bacterial small subunit ribosomal RNA", at positions 524 to 776 of the family's 1533-position model. The record is from RNAcentral.
UACGUAGGGGGCAAGCGUUGUCCGGAUUUAUUGGGCGUAAAGCGCGUGUAGGCGGUUUGGUAGGUCCGUUGUGAAAACUCGAGGCUCAACCUCGAGACGCCGAUGGAAACCAUCAGACUAGAGUCCGGAAGAGGAGAGUGGAAUUCCUGGUGUAGCGGUGAAAUGCGCAGAUAUCAGGAAGAACACCCGUGGCUAAGGCGGCUCUCUAGUACGGUACUGACGCUGAGACGCGAAAGCGUGGGGAGCGAACAGG